UACGUAGGGGGCAAGCGUUGUCCGGAUUUAUUGGGCGUAAAGAGCGUGUAGGCGGCUAGAUAGGUCCGUUGUGAAAACUCGAGGCUCAACCUCGAGACGUCGAUGGAAACCAUCUGGCUAGAGUCCGGAAGAGGAGAGUGGAAUUCCUGGUGUAGCGGUGAAAUGCGCAGAUAUCAGGAAGAACACCCGUGGCGAAGGCGGCUCGCUGGGACGGUACUGACGCUGAGGUGCGAAAGCGUGGGGAGCGAACAGG
Molecule: ribosomal RNA, 253 nt
Filed under: uncultured bacterium
Lineage: Bacteria
Description: partial 16S ribosomal RNA
Rfam family: Bacterial small subunit ribosomal RNA
Source: RNAcentral